RNAcentral lists this ribosomal RNA (369 nucleotides) under uncultured bacterium. Its description in RNAcentral is "bacterial SSU rRNA". It matches the Rfam family "Bacterial small subunit ribosomal RNA", at positions 506 to 873 of the family's 1533-position model. The record is from RNAcentral.
UCUUCAGCCGCCGGCGUAAAUACGGAGGGUGCAAGCUUUUAUCGGAAUUUCUGGGCGUAAAGCGCACGCGGGCGGUCUGUCAAGUCGGAUGUGAAAUCCCCGGGCUCAACCUGGGAAUUGCAUUCGAAACUGGCAGGCUGGAGUCUUGUAGAGGGGGGUAGAAUUCCAGGUGUAGCGGUGAAAUGUGUAGAGAUCUGGAGGAAUACCGGUGGCGAAGGCGGCCCCCUGGACAAAGACUGACGGUCAGGUGAGAAAGCGUGGGGAGCAAACAGGAUUAGAUCCCCUGGUAGUCCACCCUGUAAACGAUGUCGACUUGGAGGUUGUUCCCUGAGGAGUGGCUCCGGAGCUAACGCGUAAGCCUACCGCCCU